RNAcentral lists this long non-coding RNA (498 nucleotides) under Equus caballus (horse). RNAcentral describes it as "lncRNA (ENSECAG00000052041.1)". The record is from RNAcentral. Lineage: Eukaryota; Metazoa; Chordata; Mammalia; Perissodactyla; Equidae.
AAACUGGGCCCAUACACGGGGCGGGGGGGCAAGGGAGAGGGAAGAAAAAGGCAGACCACUCCACAUUGGUAGGUGGCAGGUUUAAUAAGCAAGAGAACUUAGUUACGAGGCACGUGCUUGUCUUCGGCAGCUGCAAGAAGAGCAGAUCUUCUCACCUGCCCACCAGAAAGACCAAAAUACCCAUCUGGAGAAGGAUGGCCUCUUCUUCAAGUGAUCACCACCACACUACAGUAGGUGCAGUCAGAUACGAUUCCUCCAUCUAUCAAACAAGGUCAAGUCUAACAAUCAAAGAGUAUUAGCAUAAAGAUUAGCCCUGAGCUAACUACUGCCAAUCCUCCUCUUUCUGCUGAGGAAGACUGGCCCUGAGCUAACAUCCACGCCCAUCUUCCUCUACUUUAUACGCGGGACACCUACCACAGCAUGGCUUGACAAGCGGUACCAUGUCUGCACCCGGGAUCUGAACCGGUGAACCCCAGGCCACCGAGAAGCGGAACGUGC